Molecule: ribosomal RNA, 626 nt
Filed under: uncultured bacterium
Lineage: Bacteria
Description: bacterial SSU rRNA
Rfam family: Bacterial small subunit ribosomal RNA (bases 1-536)
Source: RNAcentral
CCUACGGGAGGCAGCAGUAAGGAAUAUUGGACAAUGCUCGCAAGAGUGAUCCAGCCAUGCCGCGUGCAGGAAGAAUGCCCUAUGGGUAGUAAACUGCUUUUGAACUAGAGAAAACCCCCAGUACGUGUACUGGGCUGAUAGUAUAGUUAGAAUAAGCAUCGGCUAACUUCGUGCCAGCAGCCGCGGUAAGACGAAGGAUGCAAGCGUUAUCCGGAUUCAUUGGGUUUAAAGGGAGCGUAGGUGGACUGAUAAGUCAGUGGUGAAAUCUCCGAGCUUAACUCGGAAAUUGCCAUUGAUACUGUUGGUCUUGAGUACAGUUGCUGUGGGCGGAAUAUGACAUGUAGUGGUGAAAUACAUAGAGAUGUCAUAGAACACCGAUUGCGAAGGCAGCUCACAAAGCUGUAACUGACACUGAGGCUCGAAAGUGCGGGGAUCAAACAGGAUUAGAUACCCUGGUAGUCCGCACCGUAAACGAUGAUUACUCGCUGCGUAGGGCGACCUUAGUGUGUUAGNGAAGACGAGAAGUAAGUACCACCGNGGGAGGUACGGCCGGCGACGGUAGAACGUACGAAUAGAGUUAGACGGCGUUGGAGGACGNGCCGACGGACGACGACGAGGGGAGGAGG